UCCUAGAUGUAAGACACAGUCCUCCCCAC
Molecule: non-coding RNA, 29 nt
Filed under: Homo sapiens (human)
Lineage: Eukaryota; Metazoa; Chordata; Mammalia; Primates; Hominidae
Source: RNAcentral